AUUGAACGCUGGCGGCAUGCCUUACACAUGCAAGUCGAACGGUAACAGGUCUUCGGAUGCUGACGAGUGGCGCACGGGUGAGUAAUACAUCGGAACGUGCCCGAUCGUGGGGGAUAACGGAGCGAAAGCUUUGCUAAUACCGCAUACGAUCUACGGAUGAAAGCAGGGGACCGCAAGGCCUUGCGCGGACGGAGCGGCCGAUGGCAGAUUAGGUAGUUGGUGGGAUAAAAGCUUACCAAGCCGACGAUCUGUAGCUGGUCUGAGAGGACGACCAGCCACACUGGGACUGAGACACGGCCCAGACUCCUACGGGAGGCAGCAGUGGGGAAUUUUGGACAAUGGGCGAAAGCCUGAUCCAGCCAUGCCGCGUGCAGGAUGAAGGCCUUCGGGUUGUAAACUGCUUUUGUACGGAACGAAAAGACUCUUUCUAAUAAAGAGGGUCCAUGACGGUACCGUAAGAAUAAGCACCGGCUAACUACGUG
RNAcentral lists this ribosomal RNA (482 nucleotides) under uncultured bacterium. Its description in RNAcentral is "partial 16S ribosomal RNA". It matches the Rfam family "Bacterial small subunit ribosomal RNA", at positions 30 to 507 of the family's 1533-position model. The record is from RNAcentral.